AGUGAACGCUGGCGGUAGGCCUAACACAUGCAAGUCGAACGGCAGCACAGUAAGAGCUUGCUCUUACGGGUGGCGAGUGGCGGACGGGUGAGGAAUACAUCGGAAUCUACUUUUUCGUGGGGGAUAACGUAGGGAAACUUACGCUAAUACCGCAUACGACCUACGGGUGAAAGCAGGGGAUCUUCGGACCUUGCGCGAUUGAAUGAGCCGAUGUCGGAUUAGCUAGUUGGCGGGGUAAAGGCCCACCAAGGCGACGAUCCGUAGCUUGUCUGAGAGGAUGAUCGGCCACACUGGAACUGAGCCACGGUCCAGACUCCUACGGGAGGCAGCAGUGGGGAAUAUUGGACAAUGGGCGCAAGCCUGAUCCAGCCAUACCGCGUGAGUGAAGAAGGCCUUCGGGUUGUAAAGCCCUUUUGUUGGGAAAGAAAAGCAGCAGGUUAAUACCCCGCUGUUCUGACGGUACCCAAAGAAUAAGCACCGGCUAACUUCGUG
Molecule: ribosomal RNA, 492 nt
Filed under: uncultured bacterium
Lineage: Bacteria
Description: partial 16S ribosomal RNA
Rfam family: Bacterial small subunit ribosomal RNA
Source: RNAcentral